This 295-nucleotide non-coding RNA is filed under the name Triticum aestivum (bread wheat). RNAcentral's name for it is "Bacterial small subunit ribosomal RNA". It matches the Rfam family "Bacterial small subunit ribosomal RNA", at positions 125 to 390 of the family's 1533-position model. The record is from Rfam by way of RNAcentral. Lineage: Eukaryota; Viridiplantae; Streptophyta; Magnoliopsida; Poales; Poaceae.
CGUACUUCUUCAACUCGAAUACCAAAAGGAAGAAAAAAUAUGACUAAGUGAUUUUAUAGUAGAGGCAUAUCCUGAAUGUGCCAAAUCCCUAAACUCUAAACUACCUGUUAUCCAAAAAAACCUAAAAUUCCUAAUAAUAGACCAAAAUCCCCUACACGAUUAGUUAGAAAAUCCCAAGGCGAUGAUCAGUAGCUGGUCCGAGAGGAUGAUCAGCCACACUGGGACUGGGACACGGCCCAGACUCCUACGGGAGGCAGCAGUGGGGAAUUUUCUGCAAUGGGCGAAAGCCUUUAGA